Heterocephalus glaber (naked mole-rat) is the source of this 165-nucleotide small nuclear RNA. Its record names the gene U2. It matches the Rfam family "U2 spliceosomal RNA". From Rfam's summary of the family: U2 is a small nuclear RNA (snRNA) component of the spliceosome (involved in pre-mRNA splicing). Complementary binding between U2 snRNA (in an area lying towards the 5' end but 3' to hairpin I) and the branchpoint sequence (BPS) of the intron results the bulging out of an unpaired adenosine, on the BPS, which initiates a nucleophilic attack at the intronic 5' splice site, thus starting the first of two transesterification reactions that mediate splicing. The record is from Ensembl. NCBI's taxonomy places the organism in Eukaryota, Metazoa, Chordata, Mammalia, Rodentia, Bathyergidae.
AUCACUUCUCGGCCUUUUGGCUAAGAUCAAGUGUAGGAAGUAAAGUUUGGUUAAAAAUAAACAAAAUUUUAAGAGCUAGCAAAUUGUUCCUACAUCCUUGUUUUCCAAAUUUUUCUCCUGGCCUUUCUGUGGUUUAACUCACUCACCUGAUAGCCAAGACCUCAA